This is a small nuclear RNA of Balaenoptera musculus (blue whale), 98 nucleotides long. The record is from Ensembl. NCBI's taxonomy places the organism in Eukaryota, Metazoa, Chordata, Mammalia, Artiodactyla, Balaenopteridae.
GUGCUUGCUUCAGCACGAGAAAAUUGGAAUGAUACAGAGAAGAUUAGCAUGGCCCCUGCACAAGGAUGACACAAAUUUGUGAAGUGUCCCCUGUUUGG